ACGGCUCAGUAACACGUGGUCAACAUACCCAGAGGACGUGGAUAACCUCGGGAAACUGAGGAUAAACCGCGAUAGACCAUAAUGUCUGGAAUGAUUUAUGGUUCAAAUCUAUAUGGCCUCUGGAUUGGACUGCGGCCGAUCAGGCUGUUGGUGAGGUAAUGGCCCACCAAACCUGAAACCGGUACGGGCUCUGAGAGGAGAAGCCCGGAGAUGGGCACUGAGACAAGGGCCCAGGCCCUAUGGGGCGCAGCAGGCGCGAAACCUUUGCAAUAGGCGAAAGCCUGACAAGGUUACUCUGAGUGAUCUCCGCUAAGGAAAUCUUUUGACACCUCUAAAAAUGGUGUAGAAUAAGGGGUGGGCAAGCCUGGUGUCAGCCGCCGCGGUAAUACCAGCACCCCGAGUGGUCGGGACGAUUAUUGGGCCUAAAGCAUCCGUAGCCGGUUCUUUAAGUCCUCCGUUAAAUCCACCUGCUUAACAGAUGGGCUGCGGAGGAUACUAUAGAGCUAGGAGGCGGGAGAGGCAAGCGGUACUCAGUGGGUAGGGGUAAAAUCCGUUGAUCCAUUGAAGACCACCAGUGGCGAAGGCGGCUUGCCAGAACGCGCUCGACGGUGAGGGAUGAAAGCUGGGGGAGCAAACCGGAUUAGAUACCCGGGUAGUCCCAGCUGUAAACGAUGCAGACUCGGUGAUGAACAGGCUUCGUGCCUGUUCAGUGCCGCAGGAAGCCGUUAAGUCUGCCGCCUGGGUAGUACGGUCGCAAGACUGAAACUUAAAGGAAUUGGCGGGGGAG
RNAcentral lists this ribosomal RNA (787 nucleotides) under uncultured archaeon. RNAcentral's name for it is "bacterial SSU rRNA". It matches the Rfam family "Archaeal small subunit ribosomal RNA", at positions 85 to 876 of the family's 1478-position model. The record is from RNAcentral.